This 463-nucleotide ribosomal RNA is filed under the name uncultured Bacteroidales bacterium. Its description in RNAcentral is "bacterial SSU rRNA". It matches the Rfam family "Bacterial small subunit ribosomal RNA", at positions 338 to 797 of the family's 1533-position model. The record is from RNAcentral. Lineage: Bacteria; Pseudomonadati; Bacteroidota; Bacteroidia; Bacteroidales.
CCUACGGGGGGCAGCAGUGAGGAAUAUUGGUCAAUGGGCGCAAGCCUGAACCAGCCAUCCCGCGUGCAGGAUGACGGCCCUAUGGGUUGUAAACUGCUUUUAUACACCAAGAAAAAUCUCCACGUGUGGGGACCCGACGGUAGUGUAUGAAUAAGCAUCGGCUAACUCCGUGCCAGCAGCCGCGGUAAUACGGAGGAUGCGAGCGUUAUCCGGAUUCAUUGGGUUUAAAGGGUGCGUAGGCGGCUUUUUAAGUCAGUGGUGAAAUCCUGUCGCUUAACGAUAGAAUUGCCAUUGAUACUGAUAAGCUUGAGUACAGUUGAGGUAAGCGGAAUGUGUAGUGUAGCGGUGAAAUGCUUAGAUAUUACACAGAACACCGAUUGCGAAGGCAGCUUACUAAACUGUUACUGACGCUGAUGCACGAAAGCGUGGGGAGCGAACAGGAUUAGAUACCCCUGUAGUCCCA